AAACAAUCGCCAACGCCAAGGAUUUGGAUUCCAAUAAUCUCAUAAUUCACUGGAUAAGUUUUUCUCCGACAACGUCAACUCCUUUUGAAAAAACUGCUUACUCACCCUUUUCUUAACCGUUUACUUUGAACCAUUCCAAACCUCCAACCGUCUCCCAGCUCCCCUACUCUAUCUUUCCAAGAAAAUCCCUUCUUCUUUUUCUCUUUCAUGUCUUUACCAAACCCAUUACCCAACCAUUUUCUUUUUGCUUUUUAGUUCAGGGGUGGUGAUGGUGCUGGAGAUGCUUUCAAGGCCUCUAGAGAGGUGUUUUAAAGGUGGAGAUGGUGGGGAUGCACUUCUAUGGCACAUGGACUUGAAGCCUCAUGCUUCAGGGGAUUAUUCAAUUGCUGUUGUACAAGCUAACUCCUUGCUAGAAGACCAAGGGCAGAUCUUCACUUCUCCUUCUGCCACUUAUGUUGGUGUCUAUGAUGGCCAUGGUGGCCCCGAGGCUUCUCGGUUUAUUGCUGAUAAUCUAUUCCCUUUUAUCCACAAGUUCGCAACAGAACAAGGUGGACUAUCAGCAGAUGCUAUAAGGAAGGCAUUUGAUGCAACAGAAGAGGAAUUCUUGCAUUUGGUAAAGCGAUCAUGGACAGCUCAGCCUCAGAUAGCUUCAGUCGGUUCCUGUUGCCUUGUUGGGGCAAUAUCAAAUGGUAUUUUGUAUGUGGCAAAUCUUGGGGACUCGAGGGCUGUGCUUGGCAAGAGAGUAUCUGAAGGCAAGACAAGUAGUGCAGUGGUGGCUGAACGUUUAUCUACUGAUCAUAACGUCUGCGUUGAGGAGGUGAGGAAGGAGGUGGCAGCACUCCAUCCUGAUGAUUCACACAUUGUGGUUUAUACUCGUGGUGUUUGGCGGAUAAAGGGCAUAAUUCAGGUUUCAAGAUCAAUAGGAGAUGUAUAUCUAAAGAAACCUGAGUUCAACAGAGAUCCUCUUUUCCAGCAAUUUGGAUUGCCUGUUCCAUUGAAAAGGCCCGUGAUGACAGCAGAACCCUCAAUAUUGGUUCGACAGUUAAGGCCACAGGACUUGUUCUUGAUAUUUGCUUCAGAUGGUCUUUGGGAGCAAUUGAGCGAUGAAACAGUUGUAGAUAUAGUUUUGAAGAACCCGCGAGCUGGGAUAGCAAGGCGAUUAAUAAGGGCUGCCCUGCGGGAGGCUGCAAGGAAAAGAGAAAUGAGAUAUGACGACAUAAAAAGAAUUGAAAAAGGAGUGAGGCGCCAUUUCCACGAUGAUAUUACCGUCAUUGUUUUGUACCUGGAUCAUCCGCUAGGUCCUUCGAAUGGAAGAUUCAAAGAUCACAGUGUUGUUGAAUGCACAAGUGCCCCUGCUGAUAUCUUCUCACUAGAUGUAGUAGAUGAAGGCCAAUGUUAGCUUCAUAUUUCUCUCUGAACAAAGACUACAGGAAAUUGGUAAUAUGAUAGCUGGUGAAUACAGAUAAUAAAUUAUGGUUACAUGAUUCCUCUGCUUUAGGACAGGAUGAAAUUGAAUUAAUAAAUCAAAGGAGGGGAAGGUUGUAUGUAUGUAGUUUUCAGUUUUGUUUUGAAAAGUUCCAUUGUAAACUAUUUUUGCUCAUUGUUUAUCAUCCUCAUAGAAUUUACAGAAAGUGUAGUAAACUUUAUGAUGGAAUGCAGUUGAAUUGAAAGAGCUGUGAAAUUUGACG
RNAcentral lists this unclassified non-coding RNA (1688 nucleotides) under Hevea brasiliensis (rubber tree). The record is from RNAcentral. Lineage: Eukaryota; Viridiplantae; Streptophyta; Magnoliopsida; Malpighiales; Euphorbiaceae.